GUUGUAUAGUCAAGUAAUUAAGUGCAUGUGGUGGAUGCCUUGGCAGUCAGAGGCGAUGAAAGACGUGAUAGCCUGCGAAAAGCUCCGGGGAGGCGGCAAAUAUCCUUUGAUCCGGAGAUGUCUGAAUGGGGGAACCCACCUACUUUAAGGUAGGUAUUGCAACAUGAAUACAUAGUGUUGCAAGGCGAACGAGGGGAAGUGAAACAUCUCAGUACCCUUAGGAAAAGAAAUCAAUUGAGAUUCCCUCAGUAGCGGCGAGCGAACGGGGAUCAGCCCAUUAAGUUAUGUGUGUUUUAGUGGAACGCUCUGGGAAGUGCGAACGUAGAGGGUGAUAUUCCCGUACACGAAAGGGCACACAUAAUGAUGACGAGUAGGGCGAGGCACGUGAAACCUUGUCUGAAUAUGGGGGGACCAUCCUCCAAGGCUAAAUACUCCUGACUGACCGAUAGUGAACCAGUACCGUGAGGGAAAGGCGAAAAGAACCCCUGUGAGGGGAGUGAAAUAGAUCCUGAAACCGCAUGCAUACAAGCAGUGGGAGCACCUUCGUGGUGUGACUGCGUACCUUUUGUAUAAUGGGUCAGCGACUUAUAUUCAGUAGCGAGGUUAACCGUAUAGGGGAGCCGUAGAGAAAUCGAGUCUUAAUAGGGCGUUUAGUUGCUGGGUAUAGACCCGAAACCAGGCGAUCUAUCCAUGAGCAGGUUGAAGGUUGGGUAACACUAACUGGAGGACCGAACCCACUGUCGUUGAAAAGCCAGGGGAUGACUUGUGGAUAGGGGUGAAAGGCUAAUCAAGCCUGGUGAUAGCUGGUUCUCCCCGAAAGCUAUUUAGGUAGCGCCUCGGACGAAUACCAUAGGGGGUAGAGCACUGUUUCGGCUAGGGGGUCAUCCCGACUUACCAAACCGAUGCAAACUCCGAAUACCUAUGAGUACUAUCCGGGAGACAGACUGCGGGUGCUAACGUCCGUAGUCAAGAGGAAAACAAUCCAGACCGCCAGCUAAGGCCCCAAAAUCAUAGUUAAGUGGGAAACGAUGUGGGAAGGCAUAGACAGCUAGGAGGUUGGCUUAGAAGCAGCCACCCUUUAAAGAAAGCGUAAUAGCUCACUAGUCGAGUCGGCCUGCGCGGAAGAUGUAACGGGGCUAAAACUAUGUGCCGAAGCUGCGGAUGUAUACUUUGUAUACGUGGUAGGGGAGCGUUCUGUAAGCCGAUGAAGGUGUGUUGAGAAGCAUGCUGGAGGUAUCAGAAGUGCGAAUGCUGACGUGAGUAACGACAAAACGGGUGAAAAACCCGUUCGCCGAAAGACCAAGGGUUCCAGUCCAACGUUAAUCGGGGCUGGGUGAGUCGACCCCUAAGGCGAGGCCGAAAGGCGUAGUCGAUGGGAAAAUGGUUAAUAUUC
This 1393-nucleotide ribosomal RNA is filed under the name Acinetobacter baumannii. Its description in RNAcentral is "bacterial LSU rRNA". It matches the Rfam family "Bacterial large subunit ribosomal RNA", at positions 1 to 1438 of the family's 2925-position model. Lineage: Bacteria; Pseudomonadati; Pseudomonadota; Gammaproteobacteria; Moraxellales; Moraxellaceae. The record is from RNAcentral.